GUCAGCAGCCGCGGGAACACCGGCGGCCCGAGUGGUGAUCGUGAUUAUUGGGUCUAAAGGGUCCGUAGCCGGUUUGGUCAGUCCUCCGGGAAAUCUGAUAGCUCAACUAUUAGGCUUUCGGGGGAUACUGCCAGACUUGGAACCGGGAGAGGUAAGAGGUACUACAGGGGUAGGAGUGAAAUCUUGUAAUCCCUGUGGGACCACCUGUGGCGAAGGCGUCUUACCAGAACGGGUUCGACGGUGAGGGACGAAAGCUGGGGGCACGAACCGGAUUAGAUACCCGGGUAGUCCCAGCCGUAAACGAUGCUCGCUAGGUGUCAGGCAUGGCGCGACCGUGUCUGGUGCCGCAGGGAAGCCGUGAAGCGAGCCACCUGGGAAGUACGGCCACAAGGCUGAAACUUAAAGGAAUUGGCGGGGGAGCACAACAACGGGUGGAGCCCUGCGGUUUAAUUGGACUCAACGCCGGACAACUCACCGGGGGCGACAGCAAUAUGUAGGCCAAGCUGAAGACUUUGCCUGAAUCGCUGAGGAGUGGUGCAUGG
This 542-nucleotide ribosomal RNA is filed under the name uncultured archaeon. Its description in RNAcentral is "bacterial SSU rRNA". It matches the Rfam family "Archaeal small subunit ribosomal RNA", at positions 457 to 997 of the family's 1478-position model. The record is from RNAcentral.